This 205-nucleotide long non-coding RNA is filed under the name Elaeis guineensis (African oil palm). Its description in RNAcentral is "long non-coding RNA (EGUI_LNC030146)". Lineage: Eukaryota; Viridiplantae; Streptophyta; Magnoliopsida; Arecales; Arecaceae. The record is from RNAcentral.
CUAAGGCAUGAACAAAAGAUUACUUUUUGACCCUAAAGAGGAGGGUUAGGAGACCACUCCUUGAUUUCAUUAACUAAUAUAAACUUAGAGAGAAUGCUGUAAUAGUUUCUGAAAAUCAAAAAAAAAGAAAAAGAAACAGAGACAAAAUGGUGGGAGAGGCAAGGAGAGAGAAGGAAGUGUGAAGGAGGGGAUAUUGUUCCAAGGC